RNAcentral lists this ribosomal RNA (450 nucleotides) under uncultured cyanobacterium. RNAcentral's name for it is "bacterial SSU rRNA". It matches the Rfam family "Bacterial small subunit ribosomal RNA", at positions 8 to 502 of the family's 1533-position model. Lineage: Bacteria; Bacillati; Cyanobacteriota. The record is from RNAcentral.
AGAGUUUGAUCAUGGCUCAGGAUGAACGCUGGCGGUCUGCUUAACACAUGCAAGUCGAACGGACUCUUCGGAGUUAGUGGCGGACGGGUGAGUAACGCGUGAGAAUCUACCUUCAGGACGGAGACAACAGUUGGAAACGACUGCUAACCCCCGAUGAACCGAAAGGGCAAAUAUUUAUAGCCUGAAGAAGAGCUCGCGUCCGAUUAGCUAGUUGGAGAGGUAAAAGCUCACCAAGGCGACGAUCGGUAGCUGGUCUGAGAGGACGAUCAGCCACACUGGGACUGAGACACGGCCCAGACUCCUACGGGAGGCAGCAGUGGGGAAUUUUCCGCAAUGGGCGAAAGCCUGACGGAGCAAGACCGCGUGGGGGAAGAGGGCUCUUGGGUCGUAAACUCCUUUUCUCUGGGAAGAACAAAAUGACGGUACCAGAGAAAUCAGCUUCGAUUCCCC